RNAcentral lists this ribosomal RNA (497 nucleotides) under uncultured bacterium. RNAcentral describes it as "partial 16S ribosomal RNA". It matches the Rfam family "Bacterial small subunit ribosomal RNA", at positions 28 to 507 of the family's 1533-position model. The record is from RNAcentral.
GAUGAACGCUGGCGGCGUGCCUAAUACAUGCAAGUCGAGCGAACAGAGGAGGAGCUUGCUCCGAUGACGUUAGCGGCGGACGGGUGAGUGACACGUGGCUAACCUACCUAUAAGACUGGGAUAACUUCGGGAAACCGGAGCUAAUACCGGAUAAUAUAUUGAACCGCAUGGUUCAAUAGUGAAAGACGGAUUUGCUGUACCUAAUAGAUGUAACCGGGUCGCAUUAGCUAGUUGGUAAGGUAACGGCUUACCAAGGCAACGAUGCGUAGCCGACCUGAGAGGGUGAUCGGCCACACUGGAACUGAGACACGGUCCAGACUCCUACGGGAGGCAGCAGUAGGGAAUCUUCCGCAAUGGGCGAAAGCCUGACGGAGCAACGCCGCGUGAGUGAUGAAGGUCUUCGGAUCGUAAAACUCUGUGAUUAGGGAGGAACAAAUGUGUAAUUAACUAUUCACGUCUUGACGGUACCUACUCAGAAAGCCACGGCUAACUACGUG